AGAAGCAGCCACCCUUGAA
This 19-nucleotide non-coding RNA is filed under the name Arabidopsis thaliana (thale cress). Lineage: Eukaryota; Viridiplantae; Streptophyta; Magnoliopsida; Brassicales; Brassicaceae. The record is from RNAcentral.